Molecule: microRNA, 23 nt
Filed under: Schmidtea mediterranea
Lineage: Eukaryota; Metazoa; Platyhelminthes; Tricladida; Dugesiidae
Description: sme-miR-2e-3p
Gene: sme-miR-2e-3p
Source: miRBase by way of RNAcentral
UAUCACAGCUUGCUCUAGGUUUA